Molecule: ribosomal RNA, 253 nt
Filed under: uncultured bacterium
Lineage: Bacteria
Description: partial 16S ribosomal RNA
Rfam family: Bacterial small subunit ribosomal RNA
Source: RNAcentral
UACGAAGGGGGCUAGCGUUGCUCGGAAUCACUGGGCGUAAAGCGCACGUAGGCGGCUUUCUAAGUCAGGGGUGAAAUCCUGGAGCUCAACUCCAGAACUGCCUUUGAUACUGGAAAGCUUGAGUCCGGGAGAGGUGAGUGGAACUGCGAGUGUAGAGGUGAAAUUCGUAGAUAUUCGCAAGAACACCAGUGGCGAAGGCGGCUCACUGGCCCGGUACUGACGCUGAGGUGCGAAAGCGUGGGGAGCAAACAGG